Molecule: ribosomal RNA, 433 nt
Filed under: uncultured bacterium
Lineage: Bacteria
Description: partial 16S ribosomal RNA
Rfam family: Bacterial small subunit ribosomal RNA
Source: RNAcentral
AACGAACGCUGGCGGCAUGCCUAACACAUGCAAGUCGAACGAGACCUUCGGGUCUAGUGGCGCACGGGUGCGUAACGCGUGGGAACCUGCCCUUAGGUUCGGAAUAACUCCCCGAAAGGGGUGCUAAUACCGGAUAAUGUCUUCGGACCAAAGAUUUAUCGCCUUUGGAUGGGCCCGCGUUGGAUUAGCCAGUUGGUAGGGUAAAAGCCUACCAAGGCGACGAUCCAUAGCUGGUCUGAGAGGAUGAUCAGCCACACUGGGACUGAGACACGGCCCAGACUCCUACGGGAGGCAGCAGUGGGGAAUAUUGGACAAUGGGCGAAAGCCUGAUCCAGCAAUGCCGCGUGAGUGAUGAAGGCCUUAGGGUUGUAAAGCUCUUUUACCCGGGAUGAUAAUGACAGUACCGGGAGAAUAAGCACCGGCUAACUCCGUG